UGCGAAGAAGCUUGCCAGGCA
This 21-nucleotide non-coding RNA is filed under the name Mus musculus (house mouse). The record is from RNAcentral. Lineage: Eukaryota; Metazoa; Chordata; Mammalia; Rodentia; Muridae.